Molecule: RNA transcript, 2672 nt
Organism: Pyrus x bretschneideri (Chinese white pear)
Lineage: Eukaryota; Viridiplantae; Streptophyta; Magnoliopsida; Rosales; Rosaceae
Exons: 7
Source: RefSeq, a predicted model, not a curated record
UAUUUUCAAUGGGACAAUUUCCGACACCCAUCAAAAUGUCUCUUCCGACGACAUUUGACCCUCACUAAUGACAAUUCGUUUUGUAAUAGUUUAACGAAAGGUAGGAUCAAGGUCAAAUAGUUCACAAGCUGCUAGGGUUUGGCACCGUUUGAACAUUACUCCGGGGAUUCAAAGGUUGAGAUCACAUAUCAGAUUAGUAGAAAAGAUGAAAAUAUGCACCUGUUCUGUCCAUCAUUAACUCCGUUGUAAACACUGUUAAAUCACCUACGAAAGACUUAUAAAAAAAAGAAACAUGAAGAACUUUCGAUCCCUCUCUCUGUCAAUUAUCUUUCCCCCUCUCUUCUGUGUCUGUGUCUCUUUUGCUUCCUUCUCUUAAAUCCCUUCAAUUCCUUCCCCAAUUUCACAAAGUGCCAUGGCUGAAUCACUGAAGCUUCUAAAUCACGUGUCACGCAUGUACUCGUGAGAGAGGCCUUUUCCCUUGUAUCUUUGACUGGGACCUUUGUCAACCCAUUGUCGCGGUUGGUGAUGCCGGUGAUGAGGGGGAUACGGUGUUUCGGUGUCUCGUUAGCAAAGUCGUUAGGGAUUAAGGAUAUUUAAUGUGAAGUGGGUUUCGCCUAAAAUACAGGAGUUCAAAAUGCAGAGUUCAAAUUGGAAGGGUAAGAGAGAAAGAAGGAGGAGAGCGAUGGUUGUGGUGCGAUGGUGGUGAUCUCGUUUCAAGUUCCAAAUUUAUUUUUAUUUUGGAUAAUUUUAAAUCCGAUCCCUAUUUAUCAACGUUCUUUGAUUAAAACUUUGUUGUUUGGUUUUUUAUUGAAAUCCUUGAAAUUAAUGCAACAAUAUAUUUCUACGUAGCUUAUUAUAAUUUUUAAAUUAAAAAUUAAUAUUUAUAGUUAUUUAUAUUAAUAAGAUUUUAAAUAAAAUAUUUAAAAAAAUUAUACUUAAAUAAAACCUAUGAUUUGUUGUUAUUUAUAUUAAUAAUAUUUUACAUACAAAAAAUUGGUAAUUUUAUACAAUACAUUUUACAUACAAAAAGUUAGUACAUUUUACAAGGAAAAAAGGUGAUACAUUUUAUAUAUUGGGUACAUCUCUAACAUUAGAAAGCUAGAAGUCAAGUUUGGUGUCUCAAGACUUCACCAAAAAUUUUUAGACUAAAAAGCCCCCCAAACAAAAAAAAUUACAACUACCAACAUAAAAAAAUGUUAUAAUCUGCAAGGGCAUUUUGGGACAAAAAAGUAUCAGAUAAUUAAAGGAAAAAAGAUAAAAUAAAUAGAUAAAAGAUAAAAAUCUGCGACUUCAUAGGAGAGAAAAAGAACGUGGUGUUGUUUGAAACUGCUCUGAGCAGUUGUGUUUGGUUUAUCUCUUUCUUCGGUCACGCAAAAACUGAUUCGUCGGUUUCUUAGGUAUUUUUCUUCACUUUUUUCUCUCUUCUUUGGUAUUUUUGGUGUUUAAUUUUUUUUUCUCUAUCAUGUGCUUUAAUUUUAGCUUCCAAGGAACUAUUGGUUAUGUUAAUCCAAUUUUUCCAUUGUUCUGUUUUCAUAAACUCGAUGGCUGAGAAAGCCAAUGGGGUGGUGGACCAGAAGCCGACCAGCAACAGGUGGUGAGGCCCUAUCCUUUCCACGAAAUCGAGCUCAAAUGGCAGUGUCAUUGGGAGGAAAUCGGACUUUUUCGAACCCCAGAUGAAAUUGAUACCUCGAAGCCCAAAUACUAUCUUCUUGAUAUGUUCCCUUAUCCCAGGAAAUACCAGGGCGAGGGUUCUAUGCGUUGUUCCGGCGGAUGAGGAUGCCUUCUGAAAAUUCCAGUGCGAGGUUACUAUGUUCUGUUCCCAUGGAUAAGCAGGCAAUGCAAAGAAUUACGAACAAUGAUGGGGCCUCUAGAGAGUAACUGCAGGCUCUGCAAAAGUUUGAAUCGCUUUGUUGGUGAUUCCAUUACGUGCACACACUCUUAUUCCAACAAACACUGCAAAGGACAAAAGAAACAGAAAAAUCUGCCCCUUCAGUAAUGCAAAAAAAAAAAAAAAAAAUGACAAGGUGGCGCAUGAAAAAGGCUGUAGAAGAAUUAAAACCUUCAACAACUCCUCAAAUCAUACUUUAUUUGGAAUAAGGUCCAACAAAUUAGGUACAACACAAUUUCUUACCCAUUUAUUUUUAAUGGCAUUCUCUAUAUCAUUCUACAAAUUAAUUAUCUCAAAUUAUAAAAUAAAAAAAAUUCUACAAAUUAAUUAUUUCAAAUUAAAAAAAAAACAAUUUAUGGGUGUAGGAAAAAUAUUAAUAGUGACCAAACAACUUUUCUAAAUACGCAUCACACCCGUCUCAAAGUACAAAGGUUGAAGUACAAGAUUAAGUAUUCUACAAGUAACUGGAGUAAAAGUAUUGCCAUGAGAAAAUUGUCAAACUUAAAGAUUAACCAUAAAAAUCUAAAGCAUCAAGUGCAAUGGCAAGCAUGGCUUUGAUUUCACAUGUAGGCGCUAUGUUUACAUAUGUACAUGAAGUCCAUAUUUUGCUUUGCUUCAUAUAUUAGGAGUUCAUCCCUAGCUAGCCUAUAACUUUGACUGAAAACUUAUGAAUCUGAAACAUUUUGAUUUAAGGACAUUAAGUGUUGUCAGUAUGUAUUUAGAAAUGAAAUUACAUGUCAUAUUUUCAGAUUUUUUUUUAAAUAGUAUAUGUUUUCCCAUUUUA